Molecule: ribosomal RNA, 350 nt
Filed under: Diadocidia globosa
Lineage: Eukaryota; Metazoa; Arthropoda; Insecta; Diptera; Diadocidiidae
Description: partial 12S ribosomal RNA
Source: RNAcentral
AAUUAAAUUAAAUUAAAUAUUAAAGUAGUAUUAGUUAUAUUCUUAAAAUUUAAUAAAUUUGGCGGUAUUUUUUCUUAUCAGAGGAACUUGUUUUAUAAUUGAUAAUCCUCAUUAUAUCUUACUUAAUUUAUUUAAAAUUUGUAUACCGUCGUCAUAAAAAUAUUUUUAAAAAAUAAUAAUUUUUUUAAAAUAAUAGUAUAUAAUAUGUCAGAUCAAGGUGCAGUUUAUAGUUAAGAAAAAAUUAGUUACAAUAAAUUUAUUUUUGGUUUAAUAAUUGAAAAAUUAUUUUUAAAAUGGAUUUGAAAGUAAAUUGAUUAAUUAAAAUUGAUUGAUUAAGUUCAAAAAUAUGU